This 347-nucleotide unclassified non-coding RNA is filed under the name soil metagenome. RNAcentral describes it as "partial contains 5.8S ribosomal RNA, internal transcribed spacer 2, and large subunit ribosomal RNA". The stretch from base 1 to 120 matches the Rfam family "5.8S ribosomal RNA", at positions 35 to 154 of the family's 154-position model. The record is from RNAcentral.
GAUGAAGAACGUAUCGAAAUGCGAUAAGUAAUGUGAAUUGCAGAAUUCAGUGAAUCAUCGAAUCUUUGAACGCACAUUGCGCCCGCCAGUAUUCUGGCGGGCAUGCCUGUCCGAGCGUCAUUUCAACCCUCGAACCCCUCCGGGGGGUCGGCGUUGGGGAUCGGCACUUACCUGCCGGCCCCGAAAUACAGUGGCGGUCUCGCCGCAGCCUCUCCUGCGCAGUAGUUUGCACACUCGCACCGGGAGCGCGGCGCGUCCACGGCCGUAAAACAACCCAAACUUCUGAAAUGUUGACCUCGGAUCAGGUAGGAAUACCCGCUGAACUUAAGCAUAUCAAUAACGGAGGA